Molecule: ribosomal RNA, 254 nt
Filed under: uncultured bacterium
Lineage: Bacteria
Description: partial 16S ribosomal RNA
Rfam family: Bacterial small subunit ribosomal RNA
Source: RNAcentral
UACGGAGGGGGCAAGCGUUAUUCGGAAUUAUUGGGCGUAAAGAGCUCGUAGGCGGUGUGUCACGUCGGCCGUGAAAACCUGCAGCUUAACUGUGGGCGUGCGGUCGAUACGGGCAUCACUGGAGUUCGGCAGGGGAGACUGGAAUUCCUGGUGUAGCGGUGAAAUGCGCAGAUAUCAGGAGGAACACCGGUGGCGAAGGCGGGUCUCUGGGCCGAUACUGACGCUGAGGAGCGAAAGCGUGGGGAGCAAACAGG